This 253-nucleotide ribosomal RNA is filed under the name uncultured bacterium. Its description in RNAcentral is "partial 16S ribosomal RNA". It matches the Rfam family "Bacterial small subunit ribosomal RNA", at positions 524 to 777 of the family's 1533-position model. The record is from RNAcentral.
UACGGAGGGGGCUAGCGUUGUUCGGAAUUACUGGGCGUAAAGGGCGCGUAGGCGGCGCGAUAAGUUGGGCGUGAAAGGCCCGGGCUCAACCCGGGGACUGCGCUUGAUACUGUCGCGCUGUGAGUCCGGGAGAGGAUGGCGGAAUUCCCAGUGUAGAGGUGAAAUUCGUAGAUAUUGGGAAGAACACCGGUGCGAAGGCGGCCAUCUGGACCGGCACUGACGCUGAGGCGCGAAAGCGUGGGAGCAAACAGGG